GACCCGAAACCAGGCGAUCUAUCCAUGAGCAGGUUGAAGGUUGGGUAACACUAACUGGAGGACCGAACCCACUGUCGUUGAAAAGGUAGGGGAUGACUUGUGGAUAGGGGUGAAAGGCUAAUCGAACCCGGAGAUAGCUGG
This 141-nucleotide non-coding RNA is filed under the name Oryza sativa Indica Group (long-grained rice). Its description in RNAcentral is "rRNA LSU_rRNA_eukarya". It matches the Rfam family "Bacterial large subunit ribosomal RNA", at positions 712 to 852 of the family's 2925-position model. Lineage: Eukaryota; Viridiplantae; Streptophyta; Magnoliopsida; Poales; Poaceae. The record is from Rfam by way of RNAcentral.